Molecule: long non-coding RNA, 2339 nt
Organism: Gadus chalcogrammus (walleye pollock)
Lineage: Eukaryota; Metazoa; Chordata; Actinopteri; Gadiformes; Gadidae
Exons: 3
Source: RefSeq, a predicted model, not a curated record
CAGAGGUAGAGAGAAAGAGAGAGAAGGAGAGAAAGACAGAGAGAAAGAGAGGGUUGUUGUAUCAGGCCAGCAUGCGGUGACCCACUGAAGAUAACGAUCCUGUUGAUUUAUAAACAUGUAUACACAUUUUGUUUUUUAUAUACAGGAAUCAAUGCCAAGGACCACUGGCUCAACUGGAGUGGAGCCAAAAUGGGAGACAGAUGGAUCCAGAUUUCUCCAGCACCUCAGUGUUUGUGGUGAAAACCUGUUUCUAUCCAAGCCGGAUAGACUGCUGCUGCUGAAGCACACACAAGGCCCGGCUCCCGUUUAGUCCAACGCAACUGGAAUCGAGAAUAUCCCACAUGGCUGAAUGUGGACAAUAUUAGCAUAAAGCUGUCAGCAAACAAGACCUUCAAGCAUAAAUGGAUGGUGCUAGACUUGCCUACUGUGGGUGUUUCUCUGGCAGUGUCUUAGCUGGUUGUUGUGAGGAGUGAGAACGAAGCAAUCAGCAAGUAUACUGCCGCAGAAACUCUUGCGAUAAAUGGGCCCUGGAACGGGAGGAAGAGCCAAAGAAAAUGGGCCCAAACAAGCGGAACAAGAACAUGUCUUUCAAUUCUCUUACGAAACAAAUAUACUUAUACUAUGAAUGAUGGAGCUGCCACCAUAACGUAACAGGGUCCGUUUUCAGCCUCUAUUGACCAUGUGAUCGGACGUCAGUAAAAUUAUGUUUUAAUGCAAUACUGACAUCUGGUGGUAAGUAAAAACACAGCGCUUACUAGUAUGCUGGAGAGCAGCAAAAGCCACUGCCACUUUAAAAUUGUGGCAUUAGUAUUGUACACUUGUAAAAAUCCUGAAUGUAAUAAAAUUAAGUAAAAAUGCAAGACUUUUUCUUUUUUAUUGUUAAGUGCUUGAGCAUUCAGAACAAUGAUAAAGCACAAAGGUAAUGCUAUCAUUCAUGCUGAUAACAAUGAUGAUAAUAAUUAUUAUAAACUAAACUAUUCUUGCUGUUAUUAUUGUAAGUUGUAGCAUUGAUAGUAGCAAUUAGUAGUAGUAUUGUGGCGGGCUAUAGUUUUACAUUCAAUAGAAAAUAUAACAUUAUAGAUUACCUUAUAUAGCCUAUAUAUAUAUGUAUAAACUUCUAAAAUCUGGAAUGCACACGACAUAAACUGGAAAUGUCCGUAUAGUGACUGUUACUGUAAGUAAGCUACAUUUACACGAUGAAGAGUUAUUUUUGUAAUUUUUGUCAACUUCCUCUCAGAAACCAUUGCUGUAGUUUAUUUGUAUGGUUUGUUGCGGCCAAUAAUAGAGGCAGCGAUAUGAAGUUGUUGUCAUUACCUGGCUAUGGAGGUGGCCCAAAAUAAUCCAUCUGCGAACCAUUGAGGCGUUAUUUAAAAUGCCAAUAGUCCAUAUAAAAUAUAAAUAGAUUUCUGUAGGAAAUACAGAAAUAUUGAUAUGAAAUACAACCGGAAACAGGCAAUACAUAUAUAAAUGAAUGAACAUAUGAAUAUAUAAAUGAGUCAAAACAAUGAAUCAAUAAAUAACGUUUUAUAAUAUCUCAUAUCGCUCAGAGCUAAAGCACCCUGGAACAGCACAGAAACACUGAAUAUACAGCAGCACUAGUAAUUAUACGAUGAUCCGCAAACUUUCUAGAGCACUCUUUCCCAAAGACUGGGUCGCGACCCACAUGUGGAUCGCGGGAGAUUUCAAUUGGGUCGCCAAAUUAAUGUAAAAUGAAAAAUAAAUAAGGCCUUUUGUGAAUUUGGUCGCGAUGGUUUGUAAUUUUAAAAAAAUGGGUUCCAAGAAAAAAAGUUUGAGAAAUACUGUUUAGAGGAUGGAAGUACAGUAGUCUCGAACUCUGUCCUCAUCGAUUAACUGUCGCUCCUUUCUGCAUUCGGUUCCUCAUGGAUGGUGAUCCUACUACUACCAUGACCGUGGGUUCUACCCAUGGACCUAUUAAAGAAGAUUCUACCAGAGGCAUCUUACUGCUCUGGGAUCUAGCGCGGCAGCAGAUUUGAAUCAGAAACAUGUAGGCACGCAUGACAAGUUCGGGAAACCCGGAAGUCGGCGGAUUGCAAUCAUAAAAUCUUGUUAUUUUCGUGCUCGUGCUGGCAACUCAGCCACUUUAAAGUCGGGGCUGUCUAUGGUACUUUUGAACAUAAAAGUCCAUCUAUAAAUAAAUAAAAUCCCCCUGCAAUAAAGAAAUGCUGACAUUUUAAAUAGAAGCCCCUUGAAAUAUAAAAAAGUUGCUAUUCUUUAAUAAAAUACAAUUUUUUUUAAAUAUUAUAUUUGUAUUAGCUCAGGAUGCCAUAAUAAUUUAUUAUGAAUAAUAAAUGGCACUCCAUUGCCUUACAUCAGAGUGA